Molecule: ribosomal RNA, 316 nt
Filed under: uncultured bacterium
Lineage: Bacteria
Description: bacterial SSU rRNA
Rfam family: Bacterial small subunit ribosomal RNA
Source: RNAcentral
GAUAAACGCUGGCGGCGCACAUAAGACAUGCAAGUCGAACGGACUUAACCAUUAGUUUACUAUUGGAGCGGUUAGUGGCGGACUGGUGAGUAAACACGUAAGCAACCUGCCUAUCAGAGGGGAACAACAGUUAGAAAUGACUGCUAAUACCGCAUAUGCCUUAAUUACCACAUGGUAAUAGAGGGAAAGGAGCAAUCCGCUGAUAGAUGGGCUUGCGUCUGAUUAGAUAGUUGGUGGGGUAACGGCCUACCAAGGCGAUGAUCAGUAGCCGGUCUGAGAGGAUGAGCGGCCACACUGGGACUGAGACACGGCCCAG